GGAAAUUCAUUUCAGGAACAAGAAAAAAGUACAAUGGUGGGACUCAGACCCUUUGAAGAGCCUUCAUGCUUCCCUUUGUUUACUCUGCAUCUGAUACAAUUUUAUCAGAAACAAGAAAUGCAACACUUGAAAUUGAAAAAAAAAGAAAUAGUAAAUAAAAGAAACAAUGAUUUUCUUAGAAAGACCGACAAAAAUUUCUUAAAACUGACUACAGCUACAACUCCCUCUUUCUCUACCUUGUAUACUUUAUUUCUCCAUCAUGCCAUCCCCAUCCAGCUAUCCGCUAUUGAUGAGUGCUAGAACUUUUCUCUUCAAAUGCAUGCAAUUCUCCGUGGAAUGGCCCUGAGUCUCAUCAUGGUAAUCAUCAUAUGCAUUAUCAUCAUACCAGCUCAGGUACGGAGGGUGAAGGGGCUUUACUAGAACUUUUUCAAGGAGUUGCUUCUCAUGACGCUAGGGUAGUAAUUUAGAGUAAAA
This 474-nucleotide long non-coding RNA is filed under the name Gossypium barbadense (sea-island cotton). Its description in RNAcentral is "long non-coding RNA (GBAR_LNC010164)". Lineage: Eukaryota; Viridiplantae; Streptophyta; Magnoliopsida; Malvales; Malvaceae. The record is from RNAcentral.